RNAcentral lists this ribosomal RNA (2354 nucleotides) under Escherichia coli. Its description in RNAcentral is "23S ribosomal RNA". It matches the Rfam family "Bacterial large subunit ribosomal RNA", at positions 591 to 2925 of the family's 2925-position model. Lineage: Bacteria; Pseudomonadati; Pseudomonadota; Gammaproteobacteria; Enterobacterales; Enterobacteriaceae. The record is from RNAcentral.
GUGUGACUGCGUACCUUUUGUAUAAUGGGUCAGCGACUUAUAUUCUGUAGCAAGGUUAACCGAAUAGGGGAGCCGAAGGGAAACCGAGUCUUAACUGGGCGUUAAGUUGCAGGGUAUAGACCCGAAACCCGGUGAUCUAGCCAUGGGCAGGUUGAAGGUUGGGUAACACUAACUGGAGGACCGAACCGACUAAUGUUGAAAAAUUAGCGGAUGACUUGUGGCUGGGGGUGAAAGGCCAAUCAAACCGGGAGAUAGCUGGUUCUCCCCGAAAGCUAUUUAGGUAGCGCCUCGUGAAUUCAUCUCCGGGGGUAGAGCACUGUUUCGGCAAGGGGGUCAUCCCGACUUACCAACCCGAUGCAAACUGCGAAUACCGGAGAAUGUUAUCACGGGAGACACACGGCGGGUGCUAACGUCCGUCGUGAAGAGGGAAACAACCCAGACCGCCAGCUAAGGUCCCAAAGUCAUGGUUAAGUGGGAAACGAUGUGGGAAGGCCCAGACAGCCAGGAUGUUGGCUUAGAAGCAGCCAUCAUUUAAAGAAAGCGUAAUAGCUCACUGGUCGAGUCGGCCUGCGCGGAAGAUGUAACGGGGCUAAACCAUGCACCGAAGCUGCGGCAGCGACGCUUAUGCGUUGUUGGGUAGGGGAGCGUUCUGUAAGCCUGCGAAGGUGUGCUGUGAGGCAUGCUGGAGGUAUCAGAAGUGCGAAUGCUGACAUAAGUAACGAUAAAGCGGGUGAAAAGCCCGCUCGCCGGAAGACCAAGGGUUCCUGUCCAACGUUAAUCGGGGCAGGGUGAGUCGACCCCUAAGGCGAGGCCGAAAGGCGUAGUCGAUGGGAAACAGGUUAAUAUUCCUGUACUUGGUGUUACUGCGAAGGGGGGACGGAGAAGGCUAUGUUGGCCGGGCGACGGUUGUCCCGGUUUAAGCGUGUAGGCUGGUUUUCCAGGCAAAUCCGGAAAAUCAAGGCUGAGGCGUGAUGACGAGGCACUACGGUGCUGAAGCAACAAAUGCCCUGCUUCCAGGAAAAGCCUCUAAGCAUCAGGUAACAUCAAAUCGUACCCCAAACCGACACAGGUGGUCAGGUAGAGAAUACCAAGGCGCUUGAGAGAACUCGGGUGAAGGAACUAGGCAAAAUGGUGCCGUAACUUCGGGAGAAGGCACGCUGAUAUGUAGGUGAAGUCCCUCGCGGAUGGAGCUGAAAUCAGUCGAAGAUACCAGCUGGCUGCAACUGUUUAUUAAAAACACAGCACUGUGCAAACACGAAAGUGGACGUAUACGGUGUGACGCCUGCCCGGUGCCGGAAGGUUAAUUGAUGGGGUNAGCGCAAGCGAAGCUCUUGAUCGAAGCCCCGGUAAACGGCGGCCGUAACUAUAACGGUCCUAAGGUAGCGAAAUUCCUUGUCGGGUAAGUUCCGACCUGCACGAAUGGCGUAAUGAUGGCCAGGCUGUCUCCACCCGAGACUCAGUGAAAUUGAACUCGCUGUGAAGAUGCAGUGUACCCGCGGCAAGACGGAAAGACCCCGUGAACCUUUACUAUAGCUUGACACUGAACAUUGAGCCUUGAUGUGUAGGAUAGGUGGGAGGCUUUGAAGUGUGGACGCCAGUCUGCAUGGAGCCGACCUUGAAAUACCACCCUUUAAUGUUUGAUGUUCUAACGUUGACCCGUGAUCCGGGUUGCGGACAGUGUCUGGUGGGUAGUUUGACUGGGGCGGUCUCCUCCUAAAGAGUAACGGAGGAGCACGAAGGUUGGCUAAUCCUGGUCGGACAUCAGGAGGUUAGUGCAAUGGCAUAAGCCAGCUUGACUGCGAGCGUGACGGCGCGAGCAGGUGCGAAAGCAGGUCAUAGUGAUCCGGUGGUUCUGAAUGGAAGGGCCAUCGCUCAACGGAUAAAAGGUACUCCGGGGAUAACAGGCUGAUACCGCCCAAGAGUUCAUAUCGACGGCGGUGUUUGGCACCUCGAUGUCGGCUCAUCACAUCCUGGGGCUGAAGUAGGUCCCAAGGGUAUGGCUGUUCGCCAUUUAAAGUGGUACGCGAGCUGGGUUUAGAACGUCGUGAGACAGUUCGGUCCCUAUCUGCCGUGGGCGCUGGAGAACUGAGGGGGGCUGCUCCUAGUACGAGAGGACCGGAGUGGACGCAUCACUGGUGUUCGGGUUGUCAUGCCAAUGGCACUGCCCGGUAGCUAAAUGCGGAAGAGAUAAGUGCUGAAAGCAUCUAAGCACGAAACUUGCCCCGAGAUGAGUUCUCCCUGACUCCUUGAGAGUCCUGAAGGAACGUUGAAGACGACGACGUUGAUAGGCCGGGUGUGUAAGCGCAGCGAUGCGUUGAGCUAACCGGUACUAAUGAACCGUGAGGCUUAACCUU